GAUGAACGCUGGCGGCGUGCUUAACACAUGCAAGUCGAACGAUGAAGCCCAGCUUGCUUGGUGGCUUAGUGGCGAACGGGUGAGUAACACGUGAGUAACCUGCCCUUAACUCUGGGAUAAGCCUGGGAAACUGGGUCUAAUACCGGAUAGGAGCGUCCACCGCAUGGUGGGUGUUGGAAAGAUUUAUCGGUUUUGGUUGAACGCGCGGCCUAUCAGCUUGUUGGUGGGGUAUUGUCCAACCAAGGCGCCGACGGGUAGCCGGCCUGAGAGGGUGACCGGCCACACUGGGACUGAGAAACGGCCCAGAAUCCUACGGGAGGAAGCAGUGGGGAAUAUUGCACAAUGGGCGCAAGACUGAUGCAGCGACGACGCGUGAGGGAUGAAGGACUUCGGGUUGUAAACCUCUUUCAGUAGGGAAGAAGAGAAAGUGACGGUACCUGCAGAAGAAGCACCGGCUAACUACGUG
This 466-nucleotide ribosomal RNA is filed under the name uncultured bacterium. RNAcentral describes it as "partial 16S ribosomal RNA". It matches the Rfam family "Bacterial small subunit ribosomal RNA", at positions 28 to 507 of the family's 1533-position model. The record is from RNAcentral.